RNAcentral lists this ribosomal RNA (375 nucleotides) under uncultured bacterium. RNAcentral describes it as "bacterial SSU rRNA". It matches the Rfam family "Bacterial small subunit ribosomal RNA", at positions 524 to 898 of the family's 1533-position model. The record is from RNAcentral.
UACGGAGGGUGCAAGCGUUGUUCGGAAUUAUUGGGCGUAAAGGGCGCGUAGGCGGUAAUGAAAGUCAGAUGUGAAAUACUUCGGCUCAACUGAAGAACUGCAUCUGAAACUUCAUAACUAGAGUACGGAGGAGGGAAAUGGAAUUCCCGGUGUAGAGGUGAAAUUCGUAGAUAUCGGGAGGAACACCAGUGGCGAAGGCGAUUUCCUGGUCUGGUACUGACGCUGAGGCGCGGAAGUGUGGGGAGCAAACAGGAUUAGAUACCCUGGUAGUCCACACUGUAAACGGUGAACACUAGGUGUGGGAGGUGUAAUACCUUCUGUGCCGUAGCUAACGCGAUAAGUGUUCCGCCUGGGAAGUACGGCCGCAAGGUUGAA